This 556-nucleotide ribosomal RNA is filed under the name Bipolaris sorokiniana. RNAcentral's name for it is "eukaryotic LSU rRNA". The stretch from base 208 to 361 matches the Rfam family "5.8S ribosomal RNA". Lineage: Eukaryota; Fungi; Ascomycota; Dothideomycetes; Pleosporales; Pleosporaceae. The record is from RNAcentral.
UUCCGUAGGUGAACCUGCGGAGGGAUCAUUACACAACAAAAUAUGAAGGCCUGGCUUUCGCGGCCGGCUGAAGUAUUUUUUUUCACCCCAUGUCUUUUGCGCACUUGUUGUUUCCUGGGCGGGUUCGCCCGCCACCAGGACCAAACCAUAAACCUUUUUUUCUUAUGCAGUUUCCAUCAGCGUCAGUAAAAACAAUGUAAUUAUUACAACUUUCAACAACGGAUCUCUUGGUUCUGGCAUCGAUGAAGAACGCAGCGAAAUGCGAUACGUAGUGUGAAUUGCAGAAUUCAGUGAAUCAUCGAAUCUUUGAACGCACAUUGCGCCCUUUGGUAUUUCAAAAGGCAUGCCUGUUUGAGAGUCCAUGUACCUUCCAAGCUUUGCUUGGUGUUGGGCGUUUUUUUGUCUCCCUCUUUCUGGGAGACUCGCCUUAAAACGAUUGGCAGCCGGCCUACUGGUUUCGGAGCGCAGCACAUUUUUUGCGCUUUGUAUCAGGAGAAAAGGACGGUACUCCAUCAAGACUCUACAUUUUUCACUUUUGACCUCGGAAUCCCGGGAG